UAGAAAACAUGCAGGACACCAGCCCUUGAGGACCGGACUUUGACACCUAAUAACUUGUCCUUUCUAUGCCAACUUUUUCUCCUGAGUGAUGUCAUCCUUUCAUUUGUACUUUUUACAAUUAUCACCACUCUAUUUUGGAGCCACUUUUUGUUAAUCCACGUGCUUUCAGUUGCUUUCUGUAUUUUGGGGUCCUCAGCUCAAUUUUUUUGACACCACGUGACAGAUGCAUACCCUUUCUGGUUAUAUUGAAGGAAGGUCAUCAACAUAUUCCAACGUAUCAUACUUGAACCUGUUGUAUCCCAUUUUCAAGAAAAUAAAUAAAGAUAAGUUUGGGGUUGGCCUUUGCGUCCUUCAACACUUGAGCACACAGAUUUUCAGGUUUGGGCAGAGUUGUGGUCAAGGAAAAAAUAUCCACAACAUGUAGCAUAUCAUCUCAAACAUGUUUAUUGAUGUCUGUGUUUGCAUUAUGCAUGUACUGUAUAUACAGUAUUUGUGUGUACUGUAUGUAUUACAGAAGUCAUCUUUUUAUUUCUGUCACCAUUAAGAAUUGAAGUGGAGAUACAUGGAUCGUGGAAUUAGCUGCAAAGAAGGCAUGACAAGGCAUCAAAAGGGAGGAAACCCAGAUGUGCUGAUG
This is a long non-coding RNA of Hippocampus zosterae (dwarf seahorse), 634 nucleotides long. RefSeq lists it as uncharacterized. The transcript has 2 exons. The record is from RefSeq and is a predicted model, not a curated record. Lineage: Eukaryota; Metazoa; Chordata; Actinopteri; Syngnathiformes; Syngnathidae.